This 1386-nucleotide ribosomal RNA is filed under the name uncultured bacterium. RNAcentral's name for it is "16S ribosomal RNA". It matches the Rfam family "Bacterial small subunit ribosomal RNA". The record is from RNAcentral.
UUCGCCCUUAGAGUUUGAUCCUGGCUCAGGACGAACGCUGGCGGCGUGCCUAACACAUGCAAGUCGAACGGGCGGAGGAGCUUCGGCUCCCGAGCUAGUGGCGGACGGGUGAGUAACGCGUGAGGAACCUGCCUUUCAGAGGGGGACAACAGUUGGAAACGACUGCUAAUACCGCAUAACAUGUGCGGAUCGCAUGAUCUGCACAUCAAAGAUUUAUCGCUGAAAGAUGGCCUCGCGUCUGAUUAGAUAGUUGGUGGGGUAACGGCCCACCAAGUCGACGAUCAGUAGCCGGACUGAGAGGUUGAACGGCCACAUUGGGACUGAGAUACGGCCCAGACUCCUACGGGAGGCAGCAGUGGGGAAUAUUGGGCAAUGGGGGCAACCCUGACCCAGCAACGCCGCGUGAAGGAAGAAGGCUUUCGGGUUGUAAACUUCUUUUACCAGGGACGAAGGACGUGACGGUACCUGGAGAAAAAGCCACGGCUAACUACGUGCCAGCAGCCGCGGUAAUACGUAGGUGGCGAGCGUUGUCCGGAAUUACUGGGUGUAAAGGGAGUGUAGGCGGGAAGGCAAGUCAGAAGUGAAAAUUAUGGGCUUAACCCAUAACCUGCUUUUGAAACUGUUUUUCUUGAGUGAGGCAGAGGCAAGCGGAAUUCCUAGUGUAGCGGUGAAAUGCGUAGAUAUUAGGAGGAACACCAGUGGCGAAGGCGGCUUGCUGGGCCUUUACUGACGCUGAGGCUCGAAAGCGUGGGGAGCAAACAGGAUUAGAUACCCUUGGUAGUCCACGCCGUAAACGAUGAUCCCUAGGUGUGGGGGAGUUGAACCCUUCCCGUGCCCGAAUUAACACCAUAAAGUGAUCCCCCCUGGGGAAUACCACCCCCAAGGUUGAAACUCCAAAGGAAUUUGACGGGGGGCCCCCCCCACGCAGUGGAGUAUGUGGUUUAAUUGGAAGCAACGCGAAGACCCUUACCAGGUCUUGACAUCGAGUGACGAUCCCAGAGAUGGGAUUUCCCUUCGGGGCACAAAGACAGGUGGUGCAUGGUUGUCGUCAGCUCGUGUCGUGAGAUGUUGGGUUAAGUCCCGCAACGAGCGCAACCCUUACUAUUAGUUGCUACGCAAGAGCACUCUAAUAGGACUGCCGUUGAUAAAACGGAGGAAGGUGGGGAUGACGUCAAAUCAUCAUGCCCUUUAUGACCUGGGCUACACACGUACUACAAUGGCGUUUAACAAAGAGAAGCGAAACCGCGAGGUUGAGCAAAUCCCCAAAAAACGUCUCAGUUCAGAUUGCAGGCUGCAACUCGCCUGCAUGAAGUCGGAAUUGCUAGUAAUCGUAGGUCAGCAUACUACGGUGAAUACGUUCCCGGGCCUUGUACACACCGCCCGUCA